UCUUGAUUGGUCUAGUGGUUAGGAUACCUGCUUGUCAUUAGAACAACAAGUCGCAGGUGGCCGGGGUUCGAUUCCCCGAUCGAGAG
Xylariaceae sp. AK1471 is the source of this 86-nucleotide non-coding RNA. NCBI's taxonomy places the organism in Eukaryota, Fungi, Ascomycota, Sordariomycetes, Xylariales, Xylariaceae. The record is from the annotation of a GenBank genome assembly.